GGCUCUCGCUCGCUCUCUCUCGCUCGCUCUCCCUUUCCCGUCUCUGUGGUUUGUAAGGGAGACAGCGACUAUGAGGAGACAAACUGAGGACUGGGGAACAAGCAGCAUAAGAAAGAAGUGUUGAGAGCUGCUCUUAACCCUUUUGGAGUCCGAAGUCAAAAGGGAAGUAGAGGGUUUGACGCAUCCCUUACAUCCUGCGUUUACUCUGACCACAGUCCAUCCCUUUUCUCACAAGCGGAGCUCAGCCCUGCUUCCCUUCCUGUUGAUUCCCAGUCAGAUACAUGACUGCCUGAAGUUACAUUGUAGAUGCUGAAAUCACUGCACCUUAAAAACAAAAAGAUUAAGCAGCACUGUAUUCCUGUAAGUAAAAGCUUUUCUGGUACCUUUUGUCCGUAUUUUUCCUCUAUAUGCAUCCGAAGUGUUAGCACAGUAGCUGGUCUCGGAUAAAGGUCAGAGUCCCCUUGAAUGGGAUUUAGAAGUUCAAAGGAUGUUUUAUUUAAAAACUAAAACCGAACUUACAUCUUGCAGAUCUUUAAUUUCA
Molecule: long non-coding RNA, 541 nt
Filed under: Columba livia (rock pigeon)
Lineage: Eukaryota; Metazoa; Chordata; Aves; Columbiformes; Columbidae
Description: partial uncharacterized LOC102094802, transcript variant X2
Source: RNAcentral